This 288-nucleotide ribosomal RNA is filed under the name uncultured bacterium. Its description in RNAcentral is "partial 16S ribosomal RNA". It matches the Rfam family "Bacterial small subunit ribosomal RNA", at positions 333 to 613 of the family's 1533-position model. The record is from RNAcentral.
UCGUACCUACGGGGGGCAGCAGUAGGGAAUUUUCGUCAAUGGGCGCAAGCCUGAACGAGCAAUGCCGCGUGAACGAGGAAGGUCUUCGGAUCGUAAAGUUCUGUUGAAGGGGAAAAAGAGCGGAGAGAGGAAAUGGUCUCCGAUUGAUAUUACCCUUCGAGGAAGUCACGGCUAACUACGUGCCAGCAGCCGCGGUAAUACGGAGGAUGCGAGCGUUAUCCGGAUUUAUUGGGUUUAAAGGGUGCGUAGGCGGAAUGCCAAGUCAGCGGUAAAAUCGCGGGGCUCAAC